GGGUUGUGAGGUUAAGCGACUAAGCGUACACGGUGGAUGCCCUGGCAGUCAGAGGCGAUGAAGGGCGUGCUAAUCUGCGAUAAGCGCCGGUAAGGUGAUAUGAACCGUUAUAACCGGCGAUACCCGAAUGGGGAAACCCAGUGUGAUUCGUCACACUAUCAUUAACUGAAUCCAUAGGUUAAUGAGGCGAACCGGGGGAACUGAAACAUCUAAGUACCCCGAGGAAAAGAAAUCAACCGAGAUUCCCCCAGUAGCGGCGAGCGAACGGGGAGGAGCCCAGAGCCUGAAUCAGCAUGUGUGUUAGUGGAAGCGUCUGGAAAGGCGCGCGAUACAGGGUGACAGCCCCGUACACAAAAGCGCAUGUGCUGUGAGCUCGAUGAGUAGGGCGGGACACGUGGUAUCCUGUCUGAAUAUGGGGGGACCAUCCUCCAAGGCUAAAUACUCCUGACUGACCGAUAGUGAACCAGUACCGUGAGGGAAAGGCGAAAAGAACCCCGGCGAGGGGAGUGAAAAAGAACCUGAAACCGUGUACGUACAAGCAGUGGGAGCACCCUUCGGGGUGUGACUGCGUACCUUUUGUAUAAUGGGUCAGCGACUUAUAUUCUGUAGCAAGGUUAACCGUAUAGGGGAGCCGGAGGGAAACCGAGUCUUAACCGGGCGUUAAGUUGCAGGGUAUAGACCCGAAACCCGGUGAUCUAGCCAUGGGCAGGUUGAAGGUUGGGUAACACUAACUGGAGGACCGAACCGACUAAUGUUGAAAAAUUAGCGGAUGACCUGUGGCUGGGGGUGAAAGGCCAAUCAAACCGGGAGAUAGCUGGUUCUCCCCGAAAGCUAUUUAGGUAGCGCCUCGUGAAUUCAUCUCCGGGGGUAGAGCACUGUUUCGGCUAGGGGGCCAUCCCGGCUUACCAACCCGAUGCAAACUGCGAAUACCGGAGAAUGUUAUCACGGGAGACACACGGCGGGUGCUAACGUCCGUCGUGAAGAGGGAAACAACCCAGACCGCCAGCUAAGGUCCCAAAGUCAUGGUUAAGUGGGAAACGAUGUGGGAAGGCCCAGACAGCCAGGAUGUUGGCUUAGAAGCAGCCAUCAUUUAAAGAAAGCGUAAUAGCUCACUGGUCGAGUCGGCCUGCGCGGAAGAUGUAACGGGGCUAAACCAUGCACCGAAGCUGCGGCAGCGAACGUAUCACCCAAGACAACUUUACGGAGUUGACGAUUGACGGAGCGAAGCGACGUCAAAGCGUUCAUUAAAGUCGAGUUGGCUUAGGGAUACGUUCGUUGGGUAGGGGAGCGUUCUGUAAGCCUGUGAAGGUGUGUCGUGAGGCAUGCUGGAGGUAUCAGAAGUGCGAAUGCUGACAUAAGUAACGAUAAAGCGGGUGAAAAGCCCGCUCGCCGGAAGACCAAGGGUUCCUGUCCAACGUUAAUCGGGGCAGGGUGAGUCGACCCCUAAGGCGAGGCCGAAAGGCGUAGUCGAUGGGAAACGGGUUAAUAUUCCCGUACUUGGUGUUACUGCGAAGGGGGACGGAGAAGGCUAUGUUGGCCGGGCGACGGUUGUCCCGGUUUAAGGGUGUAGGUGUGUGUUCCAGGUAAAUCCGGUUCACUUUAACACUGAGGCGUGACGACGAGGCACUACGGUGCUGAAGCAACAAAUGCCCUGCUUCCAGGAAAAGCCUCUAAGCAUCAGGUAACACGAAAUCGUACCCCAAACCGACACAGGUGGUCAGGUAGAGAAUACCAAGGCGCUUGAGAGAACUCGGGUGAAGGAACUAGGCAAAAUGGUGCCGUAACUUCGGGAGAAGGCACGCUGACACGUAGGUGAAGUGAUUUACUCAUGGAGCUGAAGUCAGUCGAAGAUACCAGCUGGCUGCAACUGUUUAUUAAAAACACAGCACUGUGCAAACACGAAAGUGGACGUAUACGGUGUGACGCCUGCCCGGUGCCGGAAGGUUAAUUGAUGGGGUCAGCGUAAGCGAAGCUCCUGAUCGAAGCCCCGGUAAACGGCGGCCGUAACUAUAACGGUCCUAAGGUAGCGAAAUUCCUUGUCGGGUAAGUUCCGACCUGCACGAAUGGCGUAAUGAUGGCCAGGCUGUCUCCACCCGAGACUCAGUGAAAUUGAACUCGCUGUGAAGAUGCAGUGUACCCGCGGCAAGACGGAAAGACCCCGUGAACCUUUACUAUAGCUUGACACUGAACAUUGAGCCUUGAUGUGUAGGAUAGGUGGGAGGCUUUGAAGUGUGGACGCCAGUCUGCAUGGAGCCGACCUUGAAAUACCACCCUUUAAUGUUUGAUGUUCUAACGUGGACCCGUAAUCCGGGUUGCGGACAGUGUCUGGUGGGUAGUUUGACUGGGGCGGUCUCCUCCUAAAGAGUAACGGAGGAGCACGAAGGUUGGCUAAUCCUGGUCGGACAUCAGGAGGUUAGUGCAAUGGCAUAAGCCAGCUUGACUGCGAGCGUGACGGCGCGAGCAGGUGCGAAAGCAGGUCAUAGUGAUCCGGUGGUUCUGAAUGGAAGGGCCAUCGCUCAACGGAUAAAAGGUACUCCGGGGAUAACAGGCUGAUACCGCCCAAGAGUUCAUAUCGACGGCGGUGUUUGGCACCUCGAUGUCGGCUCAUCACAUCCUGGGGCUGAAGUAGGUCCCAAGGGUAUGGCUGUUCGCCAUUUAAAGUGGUACGCGAGCUGGGUUUAGAACGUCGUGAGACAGUUCGGUCCCUAUCUGCCGUGGGCGCUGGAGAACUGAGGGGGGCUGCUCCUAGUACGAGAGGACCGGAGUGGACGCAUCACUGGUGUUCGGGUUGUCAUGCCAAUGGCACUGCCCGGUAGCUAAAUGCGGAAGAGAUAAGUGCUGAAAGCAUCUAAGCACGAAACUUGCCCCGAGAUGAGUUCUCCCUGAGACUUAGAGUCUCCUGAAGGAACGUUGAAGACGACGACGUUGAUAGGCCGGGUGUGUAAGCGCAGCGAUGCGUUGAGCUAACCGGUACUAAUGAACCGUGAGGCUUAACCUUACAACGCCGAAG
RNAcentral lists this ribosomal RNA (3010 nucleotides) under Salmonella enterica. RNAcentral's name for it is "23S ribosomal RNA". It matches the Rfam family "Bacterial large subunit ribosomal RNA". Lineage: Bacteria; Pseudomonadati; Pseudomonadota; Gammaproteobacteria; Enterobacterales; Enterobacteriaceae. The record is from RNAcentral.